UGGGGAAUAUUGCACAAUGGGGGAAACCCUGAUGCAGCGACGCCGCGUGAACGAAGAAGGUAUUCGUAUCGUAAAGUUCUGUCCUAUGGGAAGAUAAUGACAGUACCAUAGAAGAAAGCUCCGGCUAAAUGCGUGCCAGCAGCCGCGGUAAUACGUAUGGAGCGAGCGUUGUCCGGAAUUAUUGGGCGUAAAGGGUACGCAGGCGGUUUAAUAAGUCGAAUGUUAAAGAUCGGGGCUCAACCCCGUAAAGCAUUGGAAACUGAUAAACUUGAGUAGUGGAGAGGAAAGUGGAAUUCCUAGUGUAGUGGUGAAAUACGUAGAUAUUAGGAGGAAUACCAGUAGCGAAGGCGACUUUCUGGACACAAACUGACGCUGAGGUACGAAAGCGUGGGGAGCAAACAGG
This 403-nucleotide ribosomal RNA is filed under the name bacterium. RNAcentral's name for it is "partial 16S ribosomal RNA". It matches the Rfam family "Bacterial small subunit ribosomal RNA", at positions 355 to 776 of the family's 1533-position model. RNAcentral also lists the same sequence under 1 other name. The record is from RNAcentral.